RNAcentral lists this transfer RNA (107 nucleotides) under Nitrososphaerota archaeon. RNAcentral's name for it is "tRNA-OTHER". Lineage: Archaea; Thermoproteati; Nitrososphaerota. The record is from RNAcentral.
GGGCCGGUCGUCUAGCCUGGUUUGGACGUCAAGGGUAGCCUCGUCACGCUCUCACUCGGCUAUGGAGAAGACGGCGAAAGUCGGCGGUCCAAAUCCGCCCCGGCCCA